Phoenix dactylifera (date palm) is the source of this 657-nucleotide non-coding RNA. The record is from RefSeq and is a predicted model, not a curated record. Lineage: Eukaryota; Viridiplantae; Streptophyta; Magnoliopsida; Arecales; Arecaceae.
UCGUCGGUUCGGAGUUCCUCUUCUUUUUCUUGAUUUUCUGGCUGCUGAACUGGAAAUUGAAGCAUAGCCUGUAUUAGAUGAGCCAAUGUCAAAGAUCAGCGUGCUUAACACCUGUGCAGGUUGAAAAUAAGGCUUGUUGCAUUGACUAGGUUCAGGAUGGGAUGGAGCAGUUGAUGGAUUAUGAUGGUGACAUGGCCGAAAUGUACCUUACUCGGAAGAAAAGGCAAGUGGCAGCAUUAUUCUGUGGUGACCAGUCUGUCCAAGGAUUCAGUUCUAUUGAGGCUGGAGUAUCAGUUUCUGCCCCAGUUUCACCUGUUUCUUCACCGCCUGAACAUCAAAUGCUUGAGAAGACCUUGAGCCUCACUAGAAGUAGACAAGGUAGUAUGAAAAGUUCAUACAGCAACACACAGUACGUAUAGGAGUUGGAGUUGUUGUUGGAACUUUGUGCUCAUUGAUAACACUCUUAACAUACUGACUUAAGUAAUCGAUGAAUUUUAGUUUGUUUUAUUUUUUUGAUAACUUUCUUUGGCAAUAAAUUUAAAUAUCUAAAGGUUGGUGGUCUGAUUAUCCUUUUCAGCUGAGGGAGUAAAAUUGAUGACACAAGAUUCUCUUAACAUUUAUCCCUUCUCCUGAGUUUAUGAUUAAUGCUUUACCAUG